This 427-nucleotide ribosomal RNA is filed under the name uncultured bacterium. Its description in RNAcentral is "bacterial SSU rRNA". It matches the Rfam family "Bacterial small subunit ribosomal RNA", at positions 355 to 774 of the family's 1533-position model. The record is from RNAcentral.
UGGGGAAUUUUGGACAAUGGGCGCAAGCCUGAUCCAGCAAUGCCGCGUGCAGGAUGAAGGCCUUCGGGUUGUAAACCGCUUUUGUCAGGGAAGAAACGAGCUUCUCUAAUACAGAGACUUAAUGACGGUACCUGAAGAAUAAGCAUCGGCUAACUUCGUGCCAGCAGCCGCGGUAAUACGUAGGGUGCGAGCGUUAAUCGGAAUUACUGGGCGUAAAGCGUGCGCAGGCGGUUAUAUAAGACAGAUGUGAAAUCCCCGGGCUCAACCUGGGACCUGCAUUUGUGACUGUAUAGCUAGAGUACGGUAGAGGGGGAUGGAAUUCCGCGUGUAGCAGUGAAAUGCGUAGAUAUGCGGAGGAACACCGAUGGCGAAGGCAAUCCCCUGGACCUGUACUGACGCUCAUGCACGAAAGCGUGGGGAGCAAACA